Molecule: ribosomal RNA, 894 nt
Filed under: Triticum aestivum (bread wheat)
Lineage: Eukaryota; Viridiplantae; Streptophyta; Magnoliopsida; Poales; Poaceae
Description: partial small subunit ribosomal RNA
Source: RNAcentral
AUGGAGAUCAGAAGCCUAGCUGAGACCAUCUUUGAGUACCUCCAAGGUAAAAGAUACAUCUUAAUUCUAGAUGAUGUUUGGACUACUGAUGUUUGGUCAGAGAUAAGGACUGUCUUUCCGUCUAGUGGCCGACUUGUUGUCACAUCAAGAAAGCAUGAAGUAUCAUCAUUGUCAACUAAUAAGUAUUCAAUUCAUUUGGAACCACUUGAAGAAGAUAACUCUUGGGAGUUGUUCUGCAAAUCAGCCUUUUGGAAUGAUGCUGACAGAAAGUGUCCACCGGAGUUGCAGAACUUGGCUUGGAAAUUUGUAAACAAGUGUGAAGGGUUGCCUAUUGCUAUUGUAUGCAUAGGCAGCGUACUAUCCAGAAAAUGUCAAACUUCUGCAGAAUGGGAAGAAGUAUAUGAUGAGUUAAAGCUCCAGUUGGUGAAAAAUGUGUGGUCUCGUGUUGAGACAAUUCUAAAAGUCAGCUUGGAGGACCUUCCAUAUUAUUUGAAGAAUUGUUUCUUACAUUGUGCAUUAUUCCCAGAAGAUUAUUCCAUCAAGAGGAGGACAGUAAUGAGGCAUUGGAUUGUUGCUGGAUUCAUCAAGGAAAAGCAGAAUAAAACUCUGGAGGAAGUGGCAGAGGGGUACUUGACUGAACUUGUGAACCGAAGCCUACUACAAGUGGUAGAGAGGAAUUAUACUGGGCGGUUGAAAUGUUGUCAGAUGCAUGAUGUCAUACGCCUUGUUGCCCUCAAUAAAGCUGGUGAAGAAUGCUUUGGUAAAGUGUAUGAUGGCUCUGGAGCAUUCUCUAUAGAGCGCACGCGUCGCAUAUCAAUCCAGAGUGGAAACCUUCAACGACUGAGUGAAUCUGAUGCAACACAUGUCCGUGCAAUCCAUGUUUUUAACAGGUAA